Long non-coding RNA from Bombus impatiens (common eastern bumble bee), 1514 nucleotides. RefSeq lists it as uncharacterized. The transcript has 2 exons. The record is from RefSeq and is a predicted model, not a curated record. Lineage: Eukaryota; Metazoa; Arthropoda; Insecta; Hymenoptera; Apidae.
UUAAAUUUCGAUGGAAAUGUUCCUAGUAAAAGCGCAAAUGAAACGUAACGUUAACGCAACGUUCGACUCUUAACGGAUCAAAUUAUCGCACACGCGGCACAUUUCUCACGCCCUUUCAUCGAGUCUUCAGAUCGAAUUAACAUCGUUGCUACAAAUUUCCUAUAAAACGAUGGCACGUGGCCGAGACUCGGACUACUAUUCCAGUUGCAUGGAUAGAAACAAAAACAGGCAUCUCAAUAGCCGUAUGAUUAUUGUCCGCCGUAGAAACUAGCACACGCUCGCUUGGGAGAUCGCGGACUGAAGCAGGUUAUGUUUUCCUUUGCGAUCUCGCGUAAAAGCGAAACACAGACAGAACGCAUACGAUGCGUUCAACGUGGAGGUGAACGCGGACGUGGACACACACCGGUGGGUUUCCUGCACGUGUCCCACGGGAGGGACACGCAUCGCCGGUGAAUCCCAGCGGCACGGCAUUCACGAUGUCUCUCUCCUUCGCCCUUUACCUGCUUCUCUCGCUCGUUCCCGAGUACACGGUUCGACGAGCCUCGACACACAAAUAGUCGAGCGGGCUCGCCGGUUCAACGUGUAACGAAUGGACGUGUGUGCGUGUAUAUAGCUCGGCUACAUAAAGCCCCUCCUGGGUUUUAUGUGGCCAUAUAGAUACAAGCCCGGUUCCGAGUAGCGUGUCUGGCAUCUUCGUAUAUAGCGUGGUGGCGUGGGCUCGCGGCUGGCAUGCAUUAUUCACGAAGUAGUCACAAACUGAACCCGCUCUCCCGGCUCCAACCCGAUCUGCCCGUGACUCCGCAUACACGCGCAUCCACUUCGCUCCGACACCGUGCACGGCUACGCGAAUUUGCUACAAUGCAGUCUAGAAGAUUAAGCCUUUGACUGGCGCGCGUUCCGCACAGUCUUUUCUUUCUAUAUAGACCUUGCUCUGAUGGAUUUAGGAUUUUUCUUCGAAGUUGAACGAAUAUCAUCGAUGGAGAGGUAGAGGUUUAACUCGCGUAGAAGGUGAGAAAACGAGGACGACUGUUGGAUUAGCUGGUAAAUCGAUUUUCCAGAAGCUCGGUCAGAGAGGAAGAAGAAAGUCUGCAGUUCGAUUACGCAAGGAGAAAGUCGCGCCAGCGAAACGAACGAAACGCCAGUCUUUUUGCGAGUCUGCUGUCCCUUGCCAUCUUCUCGCCUCCGUCGACCCAUAAUCGAGACGAACAGAGAGAAAGAGAUGCCAACCAGCAGAAACAAAAGAGAGGAAGAUAGAAAGAGAGAGAGAGAGAGAAAAAGGACAGACAAGAAGGAGAACCGGUUCUGCGAAGUCCAUGGCGUGUCUAAUCACGGCGCUACACGAGCGUUACGCUUUGGCUGCGCAUGAAAAUACCUAUAUACACCUAUGUACCUAUGUACUUGCGUGCCUGUAUGCCAACUAUUUAUACAAGGUGUUACAAAAGAAGAGUUUCAGAUUUUCUGAGCUUACGAAUAAUACUUAACGAGAGAUGCGAACGAUAUCUAAGAAACGUAGA